UCCGAUAUGGUGUAGUGGCUAACAUCGCUCGCUUUCAAUUCGAUUCCUCCCAAGAAUCGGAAUGGUACCGAGCAGCCCCGGGUUCGAUUCCCGGUGUCGGAA
RNAcentral lists this transfer RNA (102 nucleotides) under Dactylellina haptotyla CBS 200.50. It matches the Rfam family "tRNA". Rfam says of the family: Transfer RNA (tRNA) molecules are approximately 80 nucleotides in length. Their secondary structure includes four short double-helical elements and three loops (D, anti-codon, and T loops). Further hydrogen bonds mediate the characteristic L-shaped molecular structure. tRNAs have two regions of fundamental functional importance: the anti-codon, which is responsible for specific mRNA codon recognition, and the 3' end, to which the tRNAs corresponding amino acid is attached (by aminoacyl-tRNA synthetases). tRNAs cope with the degeneracy of the genetic code in two manners: having more than one tRNA (with a specific anti-codon) for a particular amino acid; and 'wobble' base-pairing, i.e. permitting non-standard base-pairing at the 3rd anti-codon position. The record is from Rfam by way of RNAcentral. Lineage: Eukaryota; Fungi; Ascomycota; Orbiliomycetes; Orbiliales; Orbiliaceae.